Molecule: ribosomal RNA, 492 nt
Filed under: uncultured bacterium
Lineage: Bacteria
Description: partial 16S ribosomal RNA
Rfam family: Bacterial small subunit ribosomal RNA
Source: RNAcentral
AGUGAACGCUGGCGGUAGGCCUAACACAUGCAAGUCGAACGGCAGCACAGUAAGAGCUUGCUCUUACGGGUGGCGAGUGGCGGACGGGUGAGGAAUACAUCGGAAUCUACUUUUUCGUGGGGGAUAACGUAGGGAAACUUACGCUAAUACCGCAUACGACCUACAGGUGGAAGCAGGGGAUCUUCGGACCUUGCGCGAUUGAAUGAGCCGAUGUCGGAUUAGCUAGUUGGCGGGGUAAAGGCCCACCAAGGCGACGAUCCGUAGCUGGUCUGAGAGGAUGAUCAGCCACACUGGAACUGAGACACGGUCCAGACUCCUACGGGAGGCAGCAGUGGGGAAUAUUGGACAAUGGGCGCAAGCCUGAUCCAGCCAUACCGCGUGGGUGAAGAAGGCCUUCGGGUUGUAAAGCCCUUUUGUUGGGAAAGAAAAGCAGCAGGUUAAUACCCCGCUGUUCUGACGGUACCCAAAGAAUAAGCACCGGCUAACUUCGUG